RNAcentral lists this ribosomal RNA (511 nucleotides) under uncultured bacterium. Its description in RNAcentral is "partial 16S ribosomal RNA". It matches the Rfam family "Bacterial small subunit ribosomal RNA", at positions 28 to 523 of the family's 1533-position model. The record is from RNAcentral.
GACGAGCGCUGGCGGCGUGCCUAAUACAUGCAAGUCGAGCGAAUCUCAGGGAGCUUGCUCCCUGAGAUUAGCGGCGGACGGGUGAGUAACACGUGGGUAACCUGCCUGUAAGACUGGGAUAACUUCGGGAAACCGGAGCUAAUACCGGAUACUUUCUUUUCUCGCAUGAGGGAAGAUGGAAAGAUGGUUCUGCUAUCACUUACAGAUGGACCCGCGGCGCAUUAGCUAGUUGGUGAGGUAACGACUCACCAAGGCAACGAUGCGUAGCCGACCUGAGAGGGUGAUCGGCCACACUGGGACUGAGACACGGCCCAGACUCCUACGGGAGGCAGCAGUAGGGAAUCUUCCGCAAUGGACGAAAGUCUGACGGAGCAACGCCGCGUGAGUGAAGAAGGUUUUCGGAUCGUAAAACUCUGUUGUCAGAGAAGAACAAGUCGGAGAGUAACUGCUCCGGCCUUGACGGUAUCUGACCAGAAAGCCACGGCUAACUACGUGCCAGCCGCCGCAGUAA